GUAGGUGAACCUGCGGAAGGAUCAUUAGCGAGAUUGUUGGUGGGUUGUGUUUGGUGGGUGGGUUGUGGUUGGGGUGGGUGUUGGUGGGGUGGGUGUUGUUGUUGUCUGUGGUUGUUUGCGGGGUGGGGAAUCGUCCUGCAGUUGCCACAUUGUGUUGUAUGACCACAGUGCCACAUUGUGUUGUAUAAGCACAGUGCCACAUUGUGUUGUAUGACUACACGCAUCACGCACAUCACCUAUCACACACAUC
Molecule: unclassified non-coding RNA, 250 nt
Filed under: plant metagenome
Description: partial contains small subunit ribosomal RNA, internal transcribed spacer 1, and 5.8S ribosomal RNA
Source: RNAcentral